RNAcentral lists this unclassified non-coding RNA (201 nucleotides) under uncultured fungus. RNAcentral describes it as "sequence contains ITS1". The record is from RNAcentral. Lineage: Eukaryota; Fungi.
UUAACUAUUAUAUAGUACUCAGACAUCACUGAUAACAGAGUUGGGUCCUCUGGCAGGCACUCUCCAGCCGAAGCCGGUGCUUGAUCGCGUGGCAAUCUCACGGCCUGCCAAAGCAACAAGUAAUAAUACACAGGGUGGUGAGUCUGGCCCCGAGGGGCUAGUUUCACUGUAAUGAUCCUUCCGCAGGUUCACCUACGGAAA